GGCUCGUUGGUCUAGGGGUAUGAUUCUUGCUUCGAGUGAGAGAGGUCUUGGGUUCAAAUCCCAGACGAGCCC
Molecule: transfer RNA, 72 nt
Filed under: Danionella translucida
Lineage: Eukaryota; Metazoa; Chordata; Actinopteri; Cypriniformes; Danionidae
Also listed under: 1 other name
Rfam family: tRNA
About the family: Transfer RNA (tRNA) molecules are approximately 80 nucleotides in length. Their secondary structure includes four short double-helical elements and three loops (D, anti-codon, and T loops).
Source: Rfam by way of RNAcentral